Salmo salar (Atlantic salmon) is the source of this 789-nucleotide long non-coding RNA. RefSeq lists it as uncharacterized. The record is from RefSeq and is a predicted model, not a curated record. NCBI's taxonomy places the organism in Eukaryota, Metazoa, Chordata, Actinopteri, Salmoniformes, Salmonidae.
AUAACCCCGGGCUCGUCAGCCACUGUCGAGGUGUCAUCCCAGUCAUCAUCCCAGUCUUCAUCGCUACCCUGGCUGGCUUGGUAUCCGUGUUGCUGCUGCGCGGUGGCAGGCGGUGUGAACGCUGUAAACGCGGGCGGUGUUGUUGUUGUUUUGGACAAGUUUUCAAUUUGAUUUAAUGUUUUAUUCGAGGCGUCUCCGAAACCUCCGGUGGGAAUAUUGGCGUAUCGGGAUCCCUGCGUCCAGGCCUCCAGAAUACUCGCCCAAUCACCUGCUGUACGGACGGAAGCCGCAACUGUUUACUGAGAUCAGAAUGCCUUCGAGGACCACCUUCAAGCAGGGACUGAGAAGGAUGUGGAGGUUUUUGACCAGGUGAGACUGAACAUGGAGAAGGUGCAGGAGAAACAGAAUGAGAGCCACCGGAGGAGAAUCAAAGGGACAAAAUGCUUUGAACAUCCGGGCUAAUGACUUGGCUUGGAAGAAAGACAAAAAGGAAGGCGAGACCUGCGAAACCUUCCUGCUCUUUCGCUCCUAGCUUUGGUCACCAUCUGUUAAGGAGAAGAUAAAAUCUCACAUUAUAACUAUUUGCAUUUGCAUCCUCAUGGUGGGCGGCAUUGCCAUGCUGUCAGCAGUACCAAAACUGGCCCAGGGGUUUAUCUCCAAAUAGUCAAUCUCAAGGCCAACCGCUGGGUCACGUUAAGUGACCUGGGGCGGCAGGUAGCCUAGUGGUUAGAGGGGGCGGCAGGUAGCCUAGUGGUUAGAGGGGGAGGCAGGUAGCCUAGUGGUUAGAGU